RNAcentral lists this ribosomal RNA (429 nucleotides) under Pseudomonadota bacterium. RNAcentral describes it as "Proteobacteria bacterium partial 16S ribosomal RNA". It matches the Rfam family "Bacterial small subunit ribosomal RNA", at positions 355 to 776 of the family's 1533-position model. Lineage: Bacteria; Pseudomonadati; Pseudomonadota. The record is from RNAcentral.
UGGGGAAUAUUGGACAAUGGGCGAAAGCCUGAUCCAGCCAUGCCGCGUGUGUGAAGAAGGUCUUCGGAUUGUAAAGCACUUUAAGUUGGGAGGAAGGGCAGUAAGCGAAUACCUUGCUGUUUUGACGUUACCGACAGAAUAAGCACCGGCUAACUCUGUGCCAGCAGCCGCGGUAAUACAGAGGGUGCAAGCGUUAAUCGGAAUUACUGGGCGUAAAGCGCGCGUAGGUGGUUCGUUAAGUGGAAUGUGAAAGCCCCGGGCUCAACCUGGGAACUGCAUCCAAAACUGGCGAGCUAGAGUAGGGCAGAGGGUGGUGGAAUUUCCUGUGUAGCGGUGAAAUGCGUAGAUAUAGGAAGGAACACCAGUGGCGAAGGCGACCACCUGGGCUCAUACUGACACUGAGGUGCGAAAGCGUGGGGAGCAAACAGG